RNAcentral lists this ribosomal RNA (842 nucleotides) under uncultured eukaryote. Its description in RNAcentral is "bacterial SSU rRNA". The stretch from base 1 to 627 matches the Rfam family "Eukaryotic small subunit ribosomal RNA", at positions 1031 to 1831 of the family's 1831-position model. The record is from RNAcentral.
GAUGGCGAUUCAUGGCAGCUGCGGAUACUCCCUUUAGUGAGGGUUCUUCAGAGCCUGUCCGGAAAUGGUAUAUUUGUUUCCGGGGGAAGUAUGGUGCAAAUCCGAAACUUAAAGGAAUUGACGGAAGGGCACCCCCAGGAGUGGAGCCUGGGGCUUAAUUUGACUCAACCCGGGAAAACUCACCCGGCCCGGAACCCGGAAGGAUUGACAAAAUGAAAACUCUUUCUUGAUUCCGUGGGUGGGGGGGCAUGGCCGUUCUUAAUUGGUGGAACGAUUUGUCUGGUUAAUUCCAAUAACGAACGAAACUCUUGCCUGAUAAAUAAGACGUGUAUCUCCUCGUCCGCUUAACUUCUUACAGAGACAGACGGGGCUCAACCCACCACAUUGAGCAAAACAUGUCUGUGAUGCGCUGACAUGUCAGGGCUGCGCCCGCGCUACACUGCAGGAAUCAGAGUGCAUACUAUCCUGGUCCGAGACGAUCGGUACCCAUCACACUCAUUCGUGAUUGGAGAUAGGGACUUGCAAUUAUAUCUCUUGCACGAGAAUUCCCAUACGUGCAGACAUACUCUCGCGUUGAUAUGUCUCUGCUCUUGUACACGCGCGCUCUCCACACUGACAGGAAUAUGAGAGCGAUGAAGCGUAGUGAGCGUUACUCGCUGCUUAUCCUGAAAGUGCAUAACUAUCGUGAUGAUGUAAUCUCUCACAGGUCCAUAUGAUCGUGAAGUAAGGCAGAUCAUUAACUCUGACUAUCUUCAUGAGCUACUCGAUCAGCUAUCGUGCUACCGUCUCAGAUUCAUGCUACAGUUCGUCAGUUACUGCAAGUAUUGCACAUUCCCGGCGCU